Xenopus laevis (African clawed frog) is the source of this 2255-nucleotide long non-coding RNA. RefSeq lists it as uncharacterized. The transcript is spliced from 2 exons. Lineage: Eukaryota; Metazoa; Chordata; Amphibia; Anura; Pipidae. The record is from RefSeq and is a predicted model, not a curated record.
UAAUGAAUCUGCCCCUUAGUCUGUUUCUAUUAUUUGAUUAGUAUCCAAAAAUGUAAAUACAGUCACUGUGAUUCAGUCUAAUCUUAAAACCAGGAAAUGCCACUGGGAAAUAAAGUUUAGGUACUGUAUUUUGUUACAGAAAUUAUAUAUAUGUGCUCUCCGCACUAGUGUUCCUGCCUCGGAUGCAUCCCCUGCAGAUGGGUAAGCCGGCGAGGGGGGCGGCAUUUUGAGGAGCCGCCUCAGGCAGCUUCUUUACCGAAAUCGCCAUUGGGAACAUCCAGUAGAUUUUUUGGUGUGGAGGGGCUGUGUGUUCAAGGUAUACCCUUGAGCUUAACAGGGAAAUUUAAGCUAUUCUAUGUUUGGUCAUAGUGAGGUAGUUAAAUACUGUAGAUGACCAAUUCACCCUUUGCUGUGACUAUUUUGUUAGCAGGAGUCCAGUAUGCAGGGGCUUCAAAAACAUAUUUUUCUUAUUAAAACCAUAGGCAAGAAUCAGCACAAUGACAAUUAAUGAACUCAUUUUGAACCAGUAGUAUGUUGACAAUUUAACCAAGAUAAAGUAUAUUGAAAUUGGUAAUUAAUUAGGGCCUUACUGGGCCCUCUACACUGCUGUGACCCCUGUACCUGCAGGGUCUGCUUCCUCCCCCCCAAGGAAAUGCCCCUAUGGCCAAUCACACAAAUAGUGAUAAGAAGAAUUUUUCGCCAAGCAUGGAUGUGCGGCUAAAUUCAGAGUUUCACCUUCAGCUAAUUUUGUCAUGAAAUAGUGGCAAAAAAAUGUCCAUUGACUUCAAUGCACCUUCCCUGAAAAAAUGUAGUGAAAAACACAUAGUAACUUUCAUGUAUUUUGCACAAAUACACACCAAGAAAAAAUGACCAUUGACUUCAAUAUAAUUUUGUGAAAAAAUGCAGUGAAAAAUCAGUGUGUUCUGUGAGAAAACACCUACUUACUUUGCAUUAUGUCUGCAAAGAAAAGAAGCAAAACAACUAUUAUUCACUGCAAUUUAUGUAUUUUUCACAGUUUUUCAGUUAAGCAAAAUGUGACAGAUUCCCUCAUCAGUAGUGUUAGACUAGAGUUGGGGGAACGAGGCCUGCAUAGGGCCGAUGUGAGGUUAGGCAGGGUCCCUCCUCCCCCAUAGUUGUGGACGUUCAGUUUCGGUCCCUCUCAGCCACCCCCCUGCAGGGGGUAGAACAAUGGCCAGGGACUUUCGGCUGGAAAAAAGGGGGCGGGCUGUAGGUCUGAGCCAGGGGGCUGGUAAACCAGGAUGGGUUUCUUAAGGAGAGGCAAAGCAGCAGCAAGGCAGAUAACUUUGUUUUUUCACCAUUAAAAAAAAAAAAAAAAAAACACAGGGGAACAGGGGGACACAGGUUUCCCCAACCACCAAGCCAGAGGUCCCAGCCCCAUUUGUACAGGGGUGACGAUUACGAUCACUGGGAGGAGGAGGAGGAUUCUAGCUUUGCUGUUGAUAAAUAUGAUUAUGAGGAUGAUGUGGAAUUUUUUCCUGCAAGCAGGCAGUGGCAUAACCAAAGGAGACCUGUGAGGGAUCUGCAUUGGGAAGACACAGGUCAUAGUACUAAUCGUGUGCUGAGUUUCUAUUUUAGGAAUAGAGAAGAAUAAAGAGUUGGCUGCAAUGGAGAAGGAAGAGAGAACGGAGGCAAGAAAGGUCAGCAGAACCUUCAAGAUGGCAAAGAAGAAAAGAGAGGCCAUCAUCCAGUGCAGCUGGGCAGUCAGAACAAAAUGGUGAUACGGUUCCUGGUCCAAGCGCUAAAGUAUCUACACGGGAGGCUACUAUGGGUAAGAAAGAAAAAAGAAAGAAGAAGAGAAGAAAGAAGAGGAUAGAAAAGAAUCUUCUGCCGGGCAUCGGGGGUUACCAUCCUACGACUUUAGAAGAAAUAGAAGUCUCAAUAUCAAUAACCAUAUCAGGGGGAGGCUAAUCUCAGCAGUUAACAGCUAUUACUCGUAAGAACUCUUACCAGUCCUGCGUCUUACAGAGGCGAAGUCCAGCAGGGGGGGGGCAUGCGAAUUAGUCCUCUAUACGUACCAUUUUGGAGAUUCGCAAGAGAGAUACAAUCUUAAAAUUCGCAUUUGGAUUUCUUUCAUACAACCUAAUGUCCACCUGUAGCCAUCAUACUGGGCACAGAUUGUCUCAGGAGACGCCACAUGUUUUGUUCCCCAAAUAUAUUUAUGAGGAUGAUAAGAGUAAGGCCGCAUAAUCAUCCGAGGUUUUAAAAGUUAUCCAAUAAAACCAUUUUUUUUGAAA